Non-coding RNA from Paramuricea clavata, 1747 nucleotides. NCBI's taxonomy places the organism in Eukaryota, Metazoa, Cnidaria, Anthozoa, Malacalcyonacea, Plexauridae. The record is from the annotation of a GenBank genome assembly.
UAACAUUCCAAAUUGGCUCUUAAGAGAUUAUUCCAGAAUUGUUGCUCUCCCAAUUAUGAAUAUUAUUAAUACUUCAUAUCGUGAACAGCAAUUGCCUGCAUGCUGGAAGAUGACAGAUGUAUCACCACUGCCCAAGAAGAAGCCGGUUAAGGACCUAAAGAAAGAUUUAAGACCAAUCUCGUUAACCCCUAGCGUAUCCAAGGUUGCGGAGGGGUUUGUGGUUGAGGAUUACGUGAAGCCUGCCAUUUUAAAAGUUAUCGACCCAAAUACUACUACUAUCGCGCUAAUUAAUAUGUUACAUCACUGGUUUUUAGGAACAGAUGGAAAUGGCUCAACGAUUAGGACAAUUCUGUUUGACUAUCGUAAAGCAUUCGACUUAAUCGACCACGGUAUACUGAUUGAUAAACUAAGCAGAUUGGAAUUACCUCCAAGUGUUAUAAACUGGAUAAUUGAUUUUCUCACCGAUAGAUUUCGGAGAGUUAAAUUAGCUGAUGAUUGUUUUUCGGAGUGGGGAUCAGUCCCUGCAGGAGUACCACAGGGAACUAAGCUAGGCCCCUGGCUGUUUGCUCUUAUGAUAAAUAAUUUAAUCAUUGAUGAUGCACAUACCUGGAAAUACGUAGACGAUGGGUACUAGUGAUGCCCAAAAUAUAGUUGAUCAAGUGGUUACGUGGUCUAGUAAUAAUAGAAUUAAAUCAAGACAAGUGUAAGGAAUUGAGAAUAUCGUUCGCGAAUCAACCAGCAAUCUUUGAUCCAUUAACCAUUAAUGGGAAAGAAUUGGAAGUUGUUAAAACAGUAAAGCUGCUAGGACUCACUGUCAAGGACAACCUUACUUGGAAUUCUUAUGUGGACGAGGUUAUAAAGAAAGUGAAUAAAAGAGUGUACUUUUUAGUGCAAUUAAAACGGGCGAGAGUUCCACCACAAGAUUUAGCGCUGUUCUAUACGUCGUGUGUCAGGUCAGUUGUGGAUUACGCGAUUCCUGCCUUUUACCAUUGUCUCCCCCAAUAUCUGAAGCGUGAGUUAGUGCGUCUCGAGAAAAGAGCUAUAUCAAGUAUUAUGCCGGAAGUUGACUAUCUAACAGGUUUGGAACGAUUAGAUAUUAAGCCCAUGAAGGAUCAUCAUGAAUAUUUAUGUGACAAACGUUUUAAGUCUAUUAUUUUUAAUCCUGAUCACAAAUUAAAUAGCUUAUUACCAGCAAGAUAUAACACGAAUUAUAACCUGAGAAACCAAAGGAACUUCAACCCCCCACAAGUCAUGACUAAUAGAACAAUGAAUUCCUUUAUCUUCUCUAUGUGUAGCGCAUGAAACUUGAUGUUUAUUUAUUGGAUGUUCGUAUACAAUUAUUAGUGUAAAUUAGCCUUUUAAACUUUUUAUCGUAAUUACUAUUAUAAUAGUCAUACAAUUAUUAGAGUAAAUUAACCUUUUAAACUUUUUACUCCUUAAUCAUUUAAUACCACCUUCUCGGGCCAAUGAACACAAUUGUAAUUUAAGGUACGGAAGUAGAUUAACACUGUUUCCUUGUAAGACGGAGCGCUUUAAUUAAGAAAAGCUUUUUUCCUACUAUGUGUAUUCAAUCACAUAAUUUAUAAAUUUUGUAAAUUUUGUAAAUUUUGUAAAUUUAAAAGUUCUUUCGAUAUUAAUUCAUAGAUCAGUAAACUAUUGUUGUAAUAUAAUGCCAGUAACACAAGGUACUUUUUAAUAUUUUUAACUAAAGUUUGUAAAUAAUUUCGCAAUUCGCUUUCAUCGAGCG